RNAcentral lists this transfer RNA (25 nucleotides) under Streptocarpus ibityensis. RNAcentral's name for it is "partial tRNA-Phe". Lineage: Eukaryota; Viridiplantae; Streptophyta; Magnoliopsida; Lamiales; Gesneriaceae. The record is from RNAcentral.
UCGGGAUAGCUCANCUGGUAGAGCA